AUUCCAAUGGUCUAGUGGUUACGACGUCGCCUUUACACGGCGAAGAUCCCGGGUUCAAACCCCGGUUGGAAUA
This 73-nucleotide transfer RNA is filed under the name Lachancea nothofagi CBS 11611. Its description in RNAcentral is "tRNA-Val (TAC) cove score=72.85". It matches the Rfam family "tRNA". Rfam says of the family: Transfer RNA (tRNA) molecules are approximately 80 nucleotides in length. Their secondary structure includes four short double-helical elements and three loops (D, anti-codon, and T loops). Lineage: Eukaryota; Fungi; Ascomycota; Saccharomycetes; Saccharomycetales; Saccharomycetaceae. The record is from RNAcentral.